Molecule: long non-coding RNA, 989 nt
Organism: Acipenser ruthenus (sterlet)
Lineage: Eukaryota; Metazoa; Chordata; Actinopteri; Acipenseriformes; Acipenseridae
Exons: 3
Source: RefSeq, a predicted model, not a curated record
AAGCGACAUGUGGAUACAAAUUUAUGCCAUCGGCAGGAAAUGAUGUGAAAGCCAAAAGAGGAUCCGCAUCAGCAAAGUGAUAGUGCGCAGGCGCGUUGAGGAGACGCGACGCUUGUGUUUGCUGUGUGAAAAUGGCCGACGUGGAGAUGGAGGUAGACGGAAAAGGCGUGGACAUCGGCAAAGACAUGACACCAACAAAACUGGGCAAGUCAGUCAUGAUGAAACCAUCGAAGAUGCAAAGUUUGCUCUACAGUCAGUAGCAACAGAAACUAAUCUUGUGGAUACUUUCUGUGAAAUUGAAGAGGAUUCUAGUGAGGUUGAAAGUGAUUCUGAUUAUGAACCAACAGAGGGCUCACUGGCUUCAGAUGAUGAAAUGUUCACAGAGUCUGAUGAGGAAGACAAAUUUCUCAGACAGCUUGAAGUCAAAGGCUGGAGAUACAGAUAGAUCUGCUGAACUUUCAGAACAUGAGUAAAAAUGUCUGCAAACAUGGAGAAUCAACGUGCAUGUCAAACAUUGUCUGUACUGCGAAAAAGCAUACUCUAAAAUUACCAGGCAUCUGACACAAAAGCAUCAAAAUGAAGUUGAUGUGGCUAAAGCAUUUGCAUACAAGCAAGGAUCCAAACAACACAAUCUGCAGCUGUUGAAAUUAAGAAACAAGGGCAACUACCACCACAACUGCAGUGUCAUAGCUUCAGGACAAGGAGAAAUUGUACCCAAGAGACAGGCAAUACGUCAAUCAGCUGCAUCAGAAUAUCUGCCAUGCAAAUAUUGUUUGGCACUUUAUGUCAAAACGGACCUGUGGAGACACCACAAACAUUGUAGCUUAAGACUGGGUGAUGACAGAACGUGCAAAAGAAAAAUUCAGUCAAGUGCAUCCUUUCUGCUGCCUCAGAAUACGACUAUUUCUAAUGGAAUGAAGAUUGGGUUAAGUAGAAUGGUCUAUGAACGCUUUACUCAGAUUGCUUCAAAUGAUCCCUUGAUCAUUAAA